UGGGGAAUAUUGGACAAUGGGCGAAAGCCUGAUCCAGCCAUGCCGCGUGUGUGAAGAAGGUCUUCGGAUUGUAAAGCACUUUAAGUUGGGAGGAAGGGCAGUAAGCGAAUACCUUGCUGUUUUGACGUUACCGACAGAAUAAGCACCAGCUAACUCUGUGCCAGCAGCCGCGGUAAUACAGAGGGUGCAAGCGUUAAUCGGAAUUACUGGGCGUAAAGCGCGCGUAGGUGGUUCGUUAAGUUGAAUGUGAAAGCCCCGGGCUCAACCUGGGAACUGCAUCCAAAACUGGCGAGCUAGAGUAGGGCAGAGGGUGGUGGAAUUUCCUGUGUAGCGGUGAAAUGCGUAGAUAUAGGAAGGAACACCAGUGGCGAAGGCGACCACCUGGGCUCAUACUGACACUGAGGUGCGAAAGCGUGGGGAGCAAACAGG
This 429-nucleotide ribosomal RNA is filed under the name Pseudomonadota bacterium. RNAcentral describes it as "Proteobacteria bacterium partial 16S ribosomal RNA". It matches the Rfam family "Bacterial small subunit ribosomal RNA", at positions 355 to 776 of the family's 1533-position model. The record is from RNAcentral. Lineage: Bacteria; Pseudomonadati; Pseudomonadota.